This is a non-coding RNA of Myodes glareolus (Bank vole), 5151 nucleotides long. The record is from RefSeq and is a predicted model, not a curated record. Lineage: Eukaryota; Metazoa; Chordata; Mammalia; Rodentia; Cricetidae.
UGUGUCCACAUUUCCCUCAGUGCCCGUCACCAUCGCUGAUGGCAGUGGCCGCUAAACUGUGAAGACUCGUGGAUAGCUGUGUGUGUGAUGUCAGAAAGCCACAUGACUAAGCCAGGCAUAGUGGCACACCCCUUUAAUCCCAGCACUCAGGAGCCAGAGGCAGGCAGAUCUUUAUGAGUUCGAGGCCAGCCUGGUCUGCUUAAUGAAUUCCAAGACAGCCAGGGCUCUGUAGAAAGACCCUGUCUCAAAAACCUAAAAGAAAGAAAGAAAGCUAGACUGACUUAAGCAAAAGGAAAGCUCACAGUAGGAUGCUGGGGCAACUCACUGGGUUCCUGGUUGCCAGGGUCACCCCGCUCUGUCCCUGUCCUCACACUGCCUUGCUCCUCAGGUACCUCCAGCUGUCCACCAGCUGUCUUCCAGUGGUUCUCCAUCUUGCUCAUUUUUUUUUCCCCAGGAGGAAAGAUUGAAGGACUGUCUCAGCAUUUGGAAGCCUUUUGUUUUGUAGUUAUGUGUACACACACACACACACACACACACACACACACACAUCUAUGUUUGUACAUGUGUGCACAUGGAAGCCAGAGACCAAUGUCAGGCUCCUCUUCAGUUGCUCUUCACCUGAAUUGUUGUGACACAGUCUCACUAAAGCUGGAGUUCACUGAUUUCACUGGGCUGGCUGCCUGACAAGCCCAGGGAUCGUCCUUUCUCUUUCUCCCUAGAGCUGGGAUUUCAAACACAGUCUGCCAUGCCUACCCUUUCCAUUGGUGCUGGGUCCAGACUCGGGUCCUCAUACUAGCAAGGCAGGCACUUGUACUGCCUGACCCUUCGCCUAGUCCUCAUUCGUUAGUUUUUGACACAGGGUUCAUGUAGCCAGCCUGGCCCAGUCUCCCAUGUAGCCAAGGCUGAUUCUGAACUGAGACUCCUGGUUCCUCCCCUUCUACCAUGUGAGUCCAGGGAUCAGACUGAGGUCAUCCGACUUGACAGCAAGAGCCUUCACAAUGGAGCCUUCUUACCAGCACUCUCUCUUGUGGUUUGGGUUUAUUAUUUGUUACUUUGUUUUGCUUGAGCAGCAUCUCAUGUAGCUCAGGCUGGUCUUGCAGUCUGACCCUCCUUACCUUUGCCUCCCAAGUUCUGUGAUUACAGACCUGUCCUGUUUUGUGCAGCUUAUGUUUUUUAAUUCCCUGCAUUUCAUAGACUUUCAGCUGCUGUUCUAGAGAUUCCUGUGUGGCUGCUUUUACGGUCUACUUAGUGUCUUAAACAGGGCCUGGGAAUGCCCCGCUGUAGGUGUUUCUUCACGCUUGCAUGUUUUUUUUUUUUUGUCAAACUGGGUAGGGAAAAAAAACUCAACUUCUUCUUCUGUUCAUUUGGAUAGUUCCUAAUCGUCCACCCACAGGUUGUCUUCCCCCGUGAUGCCUCCCUUUUGUGGUUGAUCCUGUCUUGUGAAUUUUGUCUCAGUGACGUGGUAAUAGGGAAGUUGUAAAAGCUCCCAUUAGAUUGUGAUUCAUGUUUUCCAUUUCUAUGAUGCAGUUUUACCAUCCCAUUCAUUUUUUUUUUAAUUUUUGUUUUGUUAUUUUUUUAGGCAGGGCCUCUAUGUAGUCCUGACUUUCCCGGAAGUCAUUGUAUAGACCAGGCUGGCUUUCAGCUCACAGAGAUAGAUAGAUCCACCUGAGUGCUAGGAUUAAAGGAGUGUGCCAGUGCCACCAUGCCUGACUGCCUUCCCGUUCAUUUCAGGACUCGGCCACUCGUACUCUGGAAAUAGUUUAAACCAGGUGCUGUCUUGCUUUGCUUUCUACAGUUGCAUGAACACCAUGAGCAGCGGCAGCUCGGGUUUACUCCAGUGUGUGGGCGUCAGAGCUGACGCAGGGGUCGUGGAGGAGCCCUUCUUCCUGGCUGGCUCUCCAUGGUUGCUCAGCCUGCUUUCUUACAGAACCCAGGACUGCUUGCCCAGGGGUGACACUGCCCACAGUGGGCUCCGCCCUUCCACAUCAAUCGUUAAUCAAGAAAAUACCCUCCAGAUUUGACUGUGGGCCAAUUUAAUUAAGGCAUUUUCUCAUUUGAAGUUCCCUCUUCCUAGAUGACUCUGACUUGUAUCAAGAUGACAAAAACACUAGUCUACGUAGUUGCUCACUUCCGCUGCCUGGUCUGUCUGGGCCUGGUCUUUCGUUGAUUUUCUUGUACCAGUUGAGCUUCCUGCCUCUUGAGAAGCCAAGUCAUUUUCUGGUGUAUCCUGAGCUUUCGAAUGCCAUAAUGGCAUCUCUGUAAACGGGAAGGUUCUGUCCUGCCCGGUUCCGCAGUUAUUCAGCCCCAGAUCAUCACAUUUCUCAAGGCUAUGGUCUUGUUUCUAUCUCUAGUACGUCAGUAACUUGGCUAUGUUUAGCAAACAGGUUCUGGCCCUCCCAUGCAUUGAGGUUCUUAGAGAGUCUUCCUUGUGUUCUCCAGGUCUGAUCCAAGAGUGCCAUCCAGUGGCCAAUCUUGGUUAGUUUUUUGAAGUUCAGUGGCUAAGAUAAAGGACCUCACUGUUAAACCUGCGCAGUCAUGGUAGAGCAAGCAUACUGAGGUCUAUCCUUUUGGUAAAACUGAAGUGCCAAGGAGAUACAAGUCUGGCUAUUAUAGUUGUUGUAGUGGUGGUGUGUUGUUGUUACUGCUGUUGCUGUGUGAGCUAGUCAGGGUCUUGCUUUGAACCUAGUGGGCCUGACCUGUAUAGCACAUGCUACUUUGUUUUUAUUUAUUCUGGUGUGUGUAUGUGUGUGUGGUGUGUGUAUUCACGGGCCCCACACAGUGGUCAGAAGGAGCUGGUUUUUGCCUGUCAAACUUUGCCCUAUACAGCAUCAAGGCCAGUGUGGACUACAGCAAGACCCUGAUAUACACACAGACAAAAGGAGGGAAACUCCGCUGUGUGAGGUUCUCAGAGCACCACAUUUAGAGCACAAUGGUGGUUGCACAGAUUUGGAGGCCGACCGUGGGAAGUUGUUAAUGGUUCUCUGUAGUGUGGACAUGGUUGUGGUGAUAGGACAGUAUUAAAGCACUUAGGUGAGACGUGGUGGCGCACACACCAUUAGCCUGAGCACUCAGGAGACAAAGGCAAGCCCACCUCUGUGAGUUCAAGGACAGCCUGGUCUAUGUGGUAGAUUUUGGGCCAGCCAGAGGUACAUAGUGAGACUUUGCCUCAGUGGGGGAUGGUGAGCCAGCAUAUCUCUCCAGCUAGAGCUACAUAGAAAGACCUUGUCUGUAACAAAAAAAAAAAAAAAAGCCAUGCUUGGAUUGGGGGUGCACCGAGUUGGUUAGUGCUUACCUGGUUUCCAUCCCAGCACUGCACAAAAACUCGGCUUGGUUUUGGGCAUCUCUGACCCCUCGCUCAGGAGGUAGAAGCAGGAGACUCAGAAGCUGUAGGGCUUCCCAGCUGGAUUGAACAAGUGUUAUCAUUGGUAUGGUGUGUGGCCCGCCUGUGCAUAUCAGGAACAUAUCUGCUUGUGUGCACUUUGUGUUGAACAGCAUAGAAGUGGUCUGGGGACAUGAGCAGUGGCCUCCAUGCCUUUCUCCUCACUUUGUCUGACUAUUUCCUCAUUUCUCAUUUUGUGAAAGAGUGAGAUUUUCUAGUUGCCUGGUUGAAGUGAAUAGAAUUUAAUGUAGUGUGCCAGCUGUGCCACAAGGUGGCCCCAGCACACCAUGAGGCUCCUGCUGGGUUGGCAGCAGGAAGGGCAGCUGCCUAAGGUUGUGGUCUGUGCUGUGUAGUAGCUCAGUCAUCGCCCUACGGUGUGGGCCUUGUGUCUGAGUGAGAGCAGCUGGUUGCCCGUGAGCCAGUUUGGGUCCUUCAGAGCCCCUGAGUUGUUCAGUGAUGUGUCCUGACCAGGGUUUCCCUUCCCCACCACACUGCCCUUCAAGAGAAUCUGAAGUGACCUUAAGGCCCGUGUUACUGGACACAACUAGAGCUCUUUCCCAGCCUCGGUGCUGGCUACAGCUUGGGUGGUGGGGGCAGGGGGUUUCUCUUUGUCUGGAGGGCUCAUCCACUGCCUAGUACAUCAGAAGCAGCUGCUUCCCCCUGAUCAUUGCAUUAAAAGUAUCUCCUGGCACUGCCAGAUGUCCCCUAAUCAGCAGGGCACAGCAUUCCCUUUGAGUUAGAGAUAUUCACUAGAGGCACUCUGUCCAAAUGGCACCUAGUGUGUGCUUUGGAUCAGCCUACAGAGCCACAGACUUGUGUAAUGGACUGGAAAGCUGCCUGGUUCUUUGUGUCCUUUGAUCAUGAAGCCAUUGUAUUUCCUGCUUGAGAAUCUUAGGGUACAUUGAAAAGGACAAAGUGAAAAAUGAUAGUGACUGUAAUCCUUACUAAAACAAUAGCUUACGUUAGUGGGGUUUUUUCCCACUUUCAGUUUUUCAUACAUGUGUCCUGUUCGUGUUAACGCCAGGCUGUGCUAAUGUUACCACAGAACUUUGUAUCAUGGGCAGUUUCCCAUGGCCUUGCAGUUCCAUAGUACUAGGCUUGCGGUGGAGGUUUUUGUUUUGUUUUCUCCCCCACCUCCCAUUUGGGGAAAAGAAACCCAAAACCCUGUCGUCUUCAGUUUCACCCAGUGGUAUGUCUGUAAGCGGAAUAAAAUCUCCAAAUAGAGCCGGACAGUGGUGACGCACACCUUUAAUCCCAGCACUCAGAGGCAGAGGUAGGUAGAUCUUGAAUUGGAGGCCAGCCUGGUCUACAGAGAGUUCCAGGACAGCCAGAACUGUUACACAGAGAAACCCUGUCUUGAAAAACAAAAAAUGAAAACAAAACAAAACAAAAAAUCUCCAAAUGAUGGGCAGAGUGCUGAUCAACAAGCCUGCAGACCUGAGUUCAGUCCUCAGGGCCUUCAUGGAAGAAGAAAUGACUCCCUCAGGUUGUCCUCUGACGCUCACACAUGUGUCAUAGCACACAUGCCCACACAUGCCUAAAUAUCAUUUUAAAAGUUAAGUGCAAUGAUAAAUCUUUGCCUCCUGGAUUUUAAAGUACUGUGAGCAAUAGUUGGAGAGUAACGGAAGGUGUGGCAGGCAGACAGUUCGGGGUGUGUGACUUGUGGGGGUCGCCCUACGGCUGCGCUCGUUACCCAGGAGCCACGUCGUAGAGGAGAGAGCUGCUCCUGACUUGCACGUGUUGGCACACACACCCGCACACACACCCGCACA